UCGAGGAUCUUCCACAAUGGGCGAAAGCCUGAUGGAGCGACGCCGCGUGAGGGAUGAAGGCCCUUUGGGUUGUAAACCUCUGUUAGGGGAGAAGAACAGCGGGGGGAGCAACAUGCCCUCCGCCUGACGUUAUCUCCAGAGAAAGCUCCGGCCAACUCCGUGCCAGCAGCCGCGGUAAUACGGGGGGAGCGAGCGUUGUCCGGAAUCAUUGGGCGUAAAGGGCGUGUAGGCGGCAGGGCAAGUCGAAUGUGAAAUCCCACGGCUCAACCGUGGAACUGCGUUCGAAACUGCCUUGCUUGAGUGCGGGAGAGGUGUGCGGAAUUCCUGGUGUAGCGGUGGAAUGCGUAGAUAUCAGGAAGAACACCGGUGGCGAAGGCGGCACACUGGCCUAGCACUGACGCUGAGGCGCGAAAGCGUGGGGAGCGAACGG
Molecule: ribosomal RNA, 430 nt
Filed under: uncultured bacterium
Lineage: Bacteria
Description: bacterial SSU rRNA
Rfam family: Bacterial small subunit ribosomal RNA
Source: RNAcentral